RNAcentral lists this ribosomal RNA (442 nucleotides) under uncultured bacterium. Its description in RNAcentral is "partial 16S ribosomal RNA". The record is from RNAcentral.
GACUACUCGGGUAUCUAAUCCUCUUCGCUCCCCACGCUUUAGUAAUUUAGCGUCAGAACUGUCCUAGUAAGCUGUCUUCACAGUUGGUGUUCUUGCCGAUAUUAACGGAUUUAACCCCUACACCGGCAAUUCCGCUUACCUCUUCCAGUCUCUAGUCUACCAGUAUCAACGGCAGGUCUCCAGUUGAGCUGAAGGUUUUUACCAUUGACUUAAUAAACCGCCUACUUACGCUUUACACCCAAUAAAUCCGGGUAACGCUUGGACCACUCGUAUUACCGCUGCUGCUGGCACGAGUUUAGCAGGUCCUUAUUCCUCUAAUACAGUCAUUAGUUCGUCUUAAAGAAAAGAUUUUUACACCCCGAAGGGCUUCAUCAAUCACGCGGCGUCGCUCCCUCACACUUUCGUGCAUUGGGGAAGAUUCCCCACUGCUGCCUCCCGUAGG